Molecule: ribosomal RNA, 253 nt
Filed under: uncultured bacterium
Lineage: Bacteria
Description: partial 16S ribosomal RNA
Rfam family: Bacterial small subunit ribosomal RNA
Source: RNAcentral
UACGAAGGUCCCGAGCGUUAUCCGGAUUUAUUGGGCUUAAAGGGUGCGUAGGCGGGUUAUUAAGUCAGUGGUGAAAGCCUUCAGCUCAACUGAAGAAUUGCCAUUGAUACUGAUGAUCUUGAGUAUGAUUGAGGUGGGCGGAAUGUGUCAUGUAGCGGUGAAAUGCUUAGAUAUGACACAGAACACCGAUUGCGAAGGCAGCUCACUAAGCCAUAACUGACGCUGAUGCACGAAAGCGUGGGGAGCAAACAGG